CCUACGGGAGACAGCAGUGAGGAAUAUUGGUCAAUGGGCGGGAGCCUGAACCAGCCAAGCCGCGUGAGGGAAGAAGGUACAGCGUAUCGUAAACCUCUUUUGCCAGGGAACAAAGGCGGGGACUAGUCCCCGGAUGAGGGUACCUGAAGAAAACGCAUCGGCUAACUCCGUGCCAGCAGCCGCGGUACUACGGAGGUUGCGAGCGUUAUCCGGAUUUAUUGGGUUUAACGGGGGCGCAGGCGGCCUGUUAAGUCAGCGGGAAAAGCCCGGGGCUCAACCCGGGCGAGCCGUUGAAACUGGCGGGCUGGAGUUGGAGAGAGGUAGGCGGAAUGCGCGGUGUAGCGGUGAAAUGCUUAGAUAUCGCGCAGAACCCCGAUUGCGAAGGCAGCGUACCGGCUCCACACUGACGCUGAGGCACGAAAGCGUGGGUAUCGAACAGGAUUAGAUACCCCUGUAGUC
RNAcentral lists this ribosomal RNA (459 nucleotides) under uncultured bacterium. RNAcentral describes it as "partial 16S ribosomal RNA". It matches the Rfam family "Bacterial small subunit ribosomal RNA", at positions 338 to 795 of the family's 1533-position model. The record is from RNAcentral.